CGGGGCGUGGCGCAGCCUGGUAGCGCACUUGCUUCGGGAGCAAGGGGUCGGUGGUUCAAAUCCACUCGCCCCGACCA
Molecule: transfer RNA, 77 nt
Filed under: Acidobacteriota bacterium
Lineage: Bacteria; Pseudomonadati; Acidobacteriota
Also listed under: 1 other name
Description: Acidobacteria bacterium tRNA-Pro
Rfam family: tRNA
About the family: Transfer RNA (tRNA) molecules are approximately 80 nucleotides in length. Their secondary structure includes four short double-helical elements and three loops (D, anti-codon, and T loops).
Source: RNAcentral